UACAGAGGUCUCAAGCGUUGUUCGGAUUCAUUGGGCGUAAAGGGUGCGUAGGUGGCGCUGUAAGUCGGGUGUGAAAUUUCGGAGCUUAACUCCGAAACUGCAUUCGAUACUGCGGUGCUUGAGGACUGGAGAGGAGACUGGAAUUUAUGGUGUAGCAGUGAAAUGCGUAGAGAUCAUAAGGAAGACCAGUGGCGAAGGCGGGUCUCUGGACAGUUACUGACGCUGAGGCACGAAGGCCAGGGGAGCAAACGGG
Molecule: ribosomal RNA, 253 nt
Filed under: uncultured bacterium
Lineage: Bacteria
Description: partial 16S ribosomal RNA
Rfam family: Bacterial small subunit ribosomal RNA
Source: RNAcentral